This 564-nucleotide ribosomal RNA is filed under the name Saccharomyces cerevisiae (brewer's yeast). RNAcentral describes it as "eukaryotic LSU rRNA". It matches the Rfam family "Eukaryotic large subunit ribosomal RNA", at positions 50 to 628 of the family's 3401-position model. The record is from RNAcentral. Lineage: Eukaryota; Fungi; Ascomycota; Saccharomycetes; Saccharomycetales; Saccharomycetaceae.
GCGGAGGAAAAGAAACCAACCGGGAUUGCCUUAGUAACGGCGAGUGAAGCGGCAAAAGCUCAAAUUUGAAAUCUGGUACCUUCGGUGCCCGAGUUGUAAUUUGGAGAGGGCAACUUUGGGGCCGUUCCUUGUCUAUGUUCCUUGGAACAGGACGUCAUAGAGGGUGAGAAUCCCGUGUGGCGAGGAGUGCGGUUCUUUGUAAAGUGCCUUCGAAGAGUCGAGUUGUUUGGGAAUGCAGCUCUAAGUGGGUGGUAAAUUCCAUCUAAAGCUAAAUAUUGGCGAGAGACCGAUAGCGAACAAGUACAGUGAUGGAAAGAUGAAAAGAACUUUGAAAAGAGAGUGAAAAAGUACGUGAAAUUGUUGAAAGGGAAGGGCAUUUGAUCAGACAUGGUGUUUUGUGCCCUCUGCUCCUUGUGGGUAGGGGAAUCUCGCAUUUCACUGGGCCAGCAUCAGUUUUGGUGGCAGGAUAAAUCCAUAGGAAUGUAGCUUGCCUCGGUAAGUAUUAUAGCCUGUGGGAAUACUGCCAGCUGGGACUGAGGACUGCGACGUAAGUCAAGGAUGCUG